UUAAGCAAUGCUUAAAUAACAGCUGAUUUUUGUUUUGAAUUUGCUUUGAAUUUUCAGCGACAUCUUUCGUAGCGUAGGGCAAGGUUCGUUUGCACUCAAUAACAGCUUAUACUUUUCCUUCAGUUCCCAUAGGUGCUCCGACUCGCUAGUGAUGAAAUUUGGGGUUCUUUUGUUGUUUUCAUCAAUUUUUGAUAUAAUUUUUCUCGCAAAUUUAUGGAUUGUCUGUUAUAAUUUAAAUAUUUCAAACAUAUUUUUAUGAAUGACAUUUGUAAAACAUAUGUUGCCCAUAACGUUGCCAUAUAUCAUAAUAAAAUUUUAUAGAAAUUAAGCAUUGACUGUGAAACGCAAACGACUACUCAGUUUGCAACAAUACUUAGCUAAGAUUUUAUUUAGGCACAACUUAAGUAUGGACUGUGAAACCGGGCAUUAGUCAACUUUCCAUUUCUUGUCAAUAAAAGUGUGCUCACAUAAUUAAGUCAUUCUGUUUGAAACGGUCAUCGUCGUCAUGGGCAAGAAUAAAAGCACAACUUCAAGCGAAAGAAGGGUCAUAUGGGAAUGAGAGGAAUACCACGGUGUAGAAAUAUCUGCGCAAACUGUACGAAGACGACUACAAGAAAAUUCAUUGAAUGGCCGUUUAGCAAGACGAAAACCUAACGUUUCAAAAAGAAAUAUUGAAAAGCGAAAAGCGAAAAGCGUUUGCUAAAGACCAUCUCUGGAAGGACUCUAAAUUUUGGAAUUUGGUGGUUUGGAGUGACGAAUCCAAAUUUAAUGUAUUUGGUAAUGAUGGGAAACCAUAUGUAAGACGACCCCCUUUGCAAGAACUCAAUCCCAAGUACACUAAAAAAACCGUGAAACAUGGUGGUUCAUCGGUGAUGGUGUGGGGUUGCUUCACGUCAUCAGGCGUUGGCUCGAUUGUUAAAAUAGACGGGAAAAUGACAGGUGAAAUGUACAAAUGUAUACUGGAGAACAAUUUAGACGGUGACUAUGUGGACAAUUUACCGUUAGCUUGGAUUUUCCAGCACGAUGACAACCCCAAACACUGCUCGCGGGUCGUUAAUACUUGGAUACGUAGUCGAAAUAUUAAAAUUCUGGAUUGGCCAGCUCAAAUUCCGGACCUAAACCCCAUAGAAAACCUAUGGGGGAUUAUAAAAAGAGCCGUAGCUGCACGAAAACCUCGCAACAAAGAUUCUUUAUGGGAAAUAAUACAGGCAGAGUGGUACAAAAUAAGUCCCGCACAAUGUGCUACUUUGGUCCAAACAAUGCCUAAGCGAUGUACUGAAGUGCUACGUAAUAAAGGAUAUCCAACUAAGUAUUAGUCUUAGGUGACUUAAUUAUAUGAGCACAACAACUUGGAUGUGCUAAGCGAAUGAACGCAAUAUUUUUACUAUUUUAGAAGUUAAAUAAAAAAUAAGUAUUCUGUUUUGA
Bactrocera neohumeralis is the source of this 1425-nucleotide long non-coding RNA. RefSeq lists it as uncharacterized. The transcript has 3 exons. NCBI's taxonomy places the organism in Eukaryota, Metazoa, Arthropoda, Insecta, Diptera, Tephritidae. The record is from RefSeq and is a predicted model, not a curated record.